GUCUACGACCAUGCUGCCCUGAACAAGUCUGAUGUCUGAUCUUGGAAGUUAAGCAGGGUCUGGCUAAGCAGUACUUGGGUAGGAGACCACCUAGGAAGACCAGGUGCUGUAGGCA
This 115-nucleotide ribosomal RNA is filed under the name Pteropus alecto (black flying fox). The record is from RNAcentral. Lineage: Eukaryota; Metazoa; Chordata; Mammalia; Chiroptera; Pteropodidae.